Molecule: ribosomal RNA, 458 nt
Filed under: uncultured bacterium
Lineage: Bacteria
Description: SSU rRNA
Rfam family: Bacterial small subunit ribosomal RNA
Source: RNAcentral
AGAAUCAACGCUGGCGGCGUGCCUAACACAUGCAAGUCGAACGAGAAAGUGGAGCAAUCCAUGAGUACAGUGGCGACCGGGUGAGUAACACGUGACUACCUACCCUUGAGUGGGGGAUAACCUCGGGAAACCGAGGCUAAUACCGCAUAAUAUCGAGAGAUCAAAGGAGUAAUCCGCUUUUGGAGGGGGUCGCGGCUGAUUAGCUAGUUGGUAGGGUAAUGGCCUACAAAGGCGAAGAUCGGUAUCCGGCCUGAGAGGGCGCACGGACACACUGGAACUGAAACACGGUCCAGACUCCUACGGGAGGCAGCAGUGGGGAAUUUUGCGCAAUGGGGGAAACCCUGACGCAGCAACGCCGCGUGGAGGAUGAAGCCCCUUGGGGUGUAAACUCCUUCGACUGGGAAAAUAAUGAUGGUACCGGUGGAAGAAGCACCGGCUAACUCUGCGCCAGCAGCCGC